This 551-nucleotide ribosomal RNA is filed under the name uncultured bacterium. Its description in RNAcentral is "partial 16S ribosomal RNA". It matches the Rfam family "Bacterial small subunit ribosomal RNA", at positions 355 to 896 of the family's 1533-position model. The record is from RNAcentral.
UGGGGAAUUUUGGACAAUGGGCGCAAGCCUGAUCCAGCCAUGCCGCGUGCGGGAAGAAGGCCUUCGGGUUGUAAACCGCUUUUGUCAGGGAAGAAAUCUUCUGAGUUAAUACCUCGGGAGGAUGACGGUACCUGAAGAAUAAGCACCGGCUAACUACGUGCCAGCAGCCGCGGUAAUACGUAGGGUGCAAGCGUUAAUCGGAAUUACUGGGCGUAAAGCGUGCGCAGGCGGUUUUGUAAGACAGAGGUGAAAUCCCCGGGCUCAACCUGGGAACUGCCUUUGUGACUGCAAGGCUUGAGUGCGGCAGAGGGGGGAUGGAAUUCCGCGUGUAGCAGUGAAAUGCGUAGAUAUGCGGAGGAACACCGAUGGCGAAGGCAAUCCCCUGGGCCUGCACUGACGCUCAUGCACGAAAAGCGUGGGGAGCAAAACAGGAUUAGAUACCCUGGUAGUCCACGCCCUAAACGAUGUCAACUGGUUGUUGGGAAGGUUCCUUCUCAGUAACGUAGCUAACGCGUGAAGUUGACCGCCUGGGGAGUACGGCCGCAAGGUUG